UACGGGGGGGGCAAGCGUUGUUCGGAAUUAUUGGGCGUAAAGGGCUCGUAGGCGGUUUGUCGCGUCGGGAGUGAAAACUCAGGGCUUAACCCUGAGCCUGCUUCCGAUACGGGCAGACUAGAGGUAUGCAGGGGAGAACGGAAUUCCUGGUGUAGCGGUGAAAUGCGCAGAUAUCCGGAGGAAUACCAAAGGCGAAGGCAGUGUCCUGGAGGGUGACUGACGCUGAGGCGCGAAAGCUAGGGGAGCGAACAGG
This 253-nucleotide ribosomal RNA is filed under the name uncultured bacterium. Its description in RNAcentral is "partial 16S ribosomal RNA". It matches the Rfam family "Bacterial small subunit ribosomal RNA", at positions 524 to 776 of the family's 1533-position model. The record is from RNAcentral.